Molecule: small RNA, 31 nt
Filed under: Bombyx mori (domestic silkworm)
Lineage: Eukaryota; Metazoa; Arthropoda; Insecta; Lepidoptera; Bombycidae
Description: ovarian small RNA-25786
Source: RNAcentral
UCAGUCAUAGAGGGGGCCCACGGGCGCAACU